This 253-nucleotide ribosomal RNA is filed under the name uncultured bacterium. RNAcentral's name for it is "partial 16S ribosomal RNA". It matches the Rfam family "Bacterial small subunit ribosomal RNA", at positions 524 to 776 of the family's 1533-position model. The record is from RNAcentral.
UACAGAGGUCUCAAGCGUUGUUCGGAUUCAUUGGGCGUAAAGGGUGUGUCGGUGGCGCGCUACGUCGGGGGUGAAAUUUCGGAGCUUAACUCCGAAACUGCAUUCGAUACUGGCGUGCUUGAGGACUGGAGAGGAGACUGGAAUUCAUGGUGUAGCAGUGAAAUGCGUAGAGAUCAUGAGGAAGACCAGUGGCGAAGGCGGGUCUCUGGACAGUUCCUGACACUGAGACACGAAGGCCAGGGGAGCAAACGGG